Molecule: non-coding RNA, 122 nt
Filed under: Halothermothrix orenii
Lineage: Bacteria; Bacillati; Bacillota; Clostridia; Halanaerobiales; Halothermotrichaceae
Also listed under: 1 other name
Description: FMN sequence
Rfam family: FMN riboswitch aptamer (RFN element)
About the family: The RFN element is a highly conserved domain that is found frequently in the 5'-untranslated regions of prokaryotic mRNAs that encode for flavin mononucleotide (FMN) biosynthesis and transport proteins.
Source: RNAcentral
AAAUGCUAACGGGAUACGGUGAGAUUCCGAACCGGUGGUGAAAGUCCACAAGCCAUAUUUAUUAUGGUUGAUUUGGUGAAAUUCCAAAACCGACAGUAUAGUCUGGAAGGGAGUUAGCAUUG